CUUUAUGGAUUUGUGUAGCAUGGAAUAUUUGGAUUCACAUAAAUGAAAAGGUCUUUAAGGCUUUACCAAGCAGCUACGAGGAUUUGAUCGAGUUAAAUAAAGUGAGGUUUUGGUUCUAGAUAUCUAAUCUUCUUCCUAGCACUUCUUGUUAUAGGUUGGGGGAUUGGUUAUGUAAUCCUUCUCUUUGUUUUGAUUAUUUGGGAUAAUGUCUUUUGUUUUGUUCCUUAGAACUGUGUAUCAGUUUUUCGGUUGCAC
This 255-nucleotide long non-coding RNA is filed under the name Salvia miltiorrhiza (redroot sage). RNAcentral describes it as "long non-coding RNA (SMIL_LNC010010)". Lineage: Eukaryota; Viridiplantae; Streptophyta; Magnoliopsida; Lamiales; Lamiaceae. The record is from RNAcentral.